GUUGCAGUGAGCCGAAAUUGCGCCACUGCACUCUAGCCUGGGCAAUAAGAGCCAAACUCCAUCUCAAAAAAAAAAAAAACACUAAAAUUUUAGGCCAGGCACAGUGGCUCACGCCUGUAAUCCCAGCACUCUGGAAAGCUGACAUGGGCAGAUCACCUGAGGUCAGGAGUUCAAGACCAUCCUGGCCAACAUGGUGAAACUCCGUCUCUACUAAAAAUACAAAAAUUAGCUGGGCGUGGUGGCAGGCGCCUGUAAUCCCAGCUACUGAAGAGGCUGACGCAGAAGAAUCACUUGAACCUGGGAGGCAGAGGCUGCAGUGAGCCAAGAUUGCACCACUGUACUCCAGCCUGGGCAACAGAGCAACACUGUCUCAAAAAAAUUAAAUUAAAUUAAAUUUUUUUAAAAGGCAUAAUUCAGUGGAAAAAGCAUCAACAGGAAACUAUUCUCUCUCUCUCUGCUUACACAGGGAACCACCACCGUUUAUCUGGAGUGAAUAAAAAGCCAAGUUAAACACAUAAAAGUGACCCCACAUGUCAUUCUCCUGGAUCACAUGCUCCACGGAAGCAAGGGUUGUGCUCUGAUAGGAUCAGGUAAGGAAAUGUUGCACAGGGGAAGAGGGCCUGGACCUUACAGAGAGAAAAUCCUAAGUGAGAGUCGCAACUGGACAUCUCACACAAAUCACUCCACCUUUCUGAGCAUCAGCAAAACAGGCACAAACACGUCCCUUGGGGAUGUGCAUGGAAAGCACCCAGGAGCCGGCUGGGGAAUGGGCUUAUCAAGACGACUGUGGUGACUGGCCCCUCGCAUCCCACUGUGGGCAUUUCAUGAAUUCUUGCAGGAUUGGUGGACUUCCAGUUUGUCUUGUCCCCACUCUCCUGCCUACAGAGAAGCUAGAGCCUGCUUUGCACACAGCCAUAGAUUUGUCUGCUGCCAAAGGAUAACAGGAUUACAGCCACAACCAAGAGCCCUAGGGUCCUAUAGAACAGAGCCCCGAAGGGCAGGCCCAGGGCACCACCAGGACCCCACCUGGUAGUGUGGAAACGGGAAGAUGUUUGGGGCGGGGGGAGCAGGUUCUAAACCCAGAGAAUAAGCACCUGCGAGUACAGUUCACUGAUUCCUGAGCAUUCCAGCCCAGAACCCCAGAUCCAGGACAGGCGAGGGAGCCCAUUUUAGAGAUGGGGAUAGUGAGGCCCAGAGAGCUGUUUCCGAAGGAGCAUGGAAGCGUACCUGCCCAUUUUCCCAGGUGUCCUGACCCAAGAGAAGCCAAAGACAGCCCUGUCCACAGAUGUGCUUGGUGGGUCAACCUGGUCUGUUUUUAAAUACACAGGUUCAAGUGUCCUUAAACAGAUGUGCACUCUGCGAAUCGCUGUGGUCUCAGGCUGCCAGCAUCUGAAUGCACCACCCCAAGCAAACAGGAUGCAUUUUCACAAUUAACUUGGGGUUUUAUCACCCAGUUUGAGACAAAAGGCAGCGGAGCCCAGACAGGGCAGUGAGUUAAACAAGGUUAGCAAGUAAAUGCCCAGCACUACAGGUCCUUCUGGGCACAAAUGGCUCAGUGAACCAGACUGGGCACUCGGAGACGGAGAGGUGGUUCCUCAGGGGAACUGAAAAUCCGGGUGGGGAAAAGAGGACGUGUCUGAGCUGUGGAAUCUGGCAGCAGACCCCCCUCGCUUCAAAUCCUGACUCAAGAAGUUCUGGGCCCGUUUGUCAGCACCCCAUUCGCCACCAGGGACCUCCCAGGACAAGCCCUGCCGUGGGAAAACUGUCGCUUUAAGGGUCUGGUGGGCAGGCCCAGCCAUUUCCAUGGAGCAGACUCUGAGCUGUUUCUGUCUUUCAAAAACCAAGGCCCCAACAGGAAGUGAGUCACCACAGGAAAAUACAGGGUUCCCAGCCUUAGGGGGCUCGAGGCUGACCUCAGAUGCCCCCGUGGGGGUCAGGCCUUUGUAGGUGCAUGGCUCUGUGGGUGGGGAAAGAUUAUUUCAGCAUUUGCUGACAUCAUUGAAUGGUGUGUGACUGAGGGGAAGGUCUCUAACUCAGCCCAGGUUCAUCUGAGUCAACCAGGGUCAAACAGCUUUCACGGGCAUCUUUGGGUCACUGACCGGGCAAAGCCAGGCCCUUAAAACAAGAGGUUGUUGGCCAGAACCCAUUUUUAAUUCUUUAAUUUGCUUUGUUUUUUUGAGAUACCAUGUCCUACCCAGACCUUUGGAUUCAGCAUGUGUGUCCAGGUGGGGAAUCCAGAAAUCUGUAAAUUAAACCUCCCUCCAGAAGACAAAGCCCCACCAGCUUCCAGCUUCAGGGAGUUGUCGCCAAGGCACACCUGCUGGGUCAUCCCUGGUGAGCCAUGACUCACCACGCCCUGGGCCCUGUGGGUGCCAACUUCCUCCUACCAAGCCAGUCAAACACCCUGGCCCAGAGGAACGCACUGACUGUGCUGACUUCCCCAAAGCCCAAGGGACUGAGGGUGGGUGGCAGGCGGCCCAAGAGUAGGGGCUGAGUCCUCUGACAGCCCCAUCUGUCCUCAGCCGCAGGGCUGGCCCCAAGGAGCCCAGUGCCACUAGCCACCCACCCAGUUAACAAUCUGCAAAGGAGCAAAAGCAACAUUCCCUCUGCGGAAUGUGCCAAAGGUACAUUCUGCUGAAGCAUGGAAAAUCUUGGUGCCUGGGCCCCACCCCAGAGUCCCAUCUAGUUCUUCUGGGGUACCACAUGCCCAGUGGCAGAUUCUAACAUGAAGGAAGGAUGAGAAACACAAAACUAGAGAGCAAAGAGGAGACGGGGGAAACUGAGGCUGGAGGCCAGUGCAGAACCCAGAAGCGAGCCCUCGGACUCUGAGAAGGGAAUCUUAUCCAGCCAUGCCACGACAAGCACAUUUAAAGGCUAACAUCUGAGUCCUCACUUCGCACCAGGCAUGGUGCUAGGCAUCCUCCACACCAUAACCUUGAGGGAGGGGCCCGGGAGGCAGGCCGCCAGUGGGACUGUCACCUACACCCUACUGACCCCAAAGUCCUUCUCUUCACCACCACCCUAGUUCUUGACAGACCUAAGGCCCAGGAAGAGGAAAAAUAGGGAGUUCCUUGUGAAAACCUAGAAAACUUCAAGCCACCUUUUAUGAACUCAUUCAAGAAAUGUCUAUACCUACCCUGUGCUGCAUGCUGAGGUCCAGAGAGCCCAGGUUUUCAAGCUGGCUGUGAAAUCAACACAGUUGGUCACAUACAACAUCCUGUUCAGUGAAACAGCAAGAAGCUAUAAAGUGCAUUUGACAUAAAAAGCUAAGAACUGCUGAGACCUGUUUCAUCAGUUCUGUGUGUUCAUUCACAAAAGGUGUGGCUGGGUAAAAGAUCUUGAUGGGAGAGGUAUUUCUUACCACAGAUCAUAGUCCAGUAUGUCUGAGAAACACUGAGGAUGGGCAAGAGGCGAGCCUUCCUGUGCCCAAUGCAAUUGUGUACGCAAACACAGUUCUAUACAACAUUCACAUUAACCUAAGAGACCCCAAACAGCAAAUAAGAACUUCUUGGUAGUUACAAAUUUCUACAUACACCUUGAAAUCAACAUGGCCAUGGUGAUCUUGAGACUCACCAUGGGGAAAAGAGUUUGGGAGUGAUUAAGCUCCUGCCCACUACACUCAAGGACAGUUUAGCAGGUGAUCCCCUUUUCCCCAGGGAACUUCAGCCCUGGCACCGCCACUCCUGAGGAAGAGGUAUGAAUGGUCUUAGAAUCCUUCCUUAAAGCUCUAAGUUAUAGUGGCACAUACCUUGGUGGGUUUAUAGAGGGCAU
This 3771-nucleotide long non-coding RNA is filed under the name Homo sapiens (human). RNAcentral describes it as "HSALNT0227478". Lineage: Eukaryota; Metazoa; Chordata; Mammalia; Primates; Hominidae. The record is from RNAcentral.